Molecule: ribosomal RNA, 274 nt
Filed under: uncultured bacterium
Lineage: Bacteria
Description: partial 16S ribosomal RNA
Rfam family: Archaeal small subunit ribosomal RNA
Source: RNAcentral
AAACCAGCACCUCAAGUGGUCAGGAUGAUUAUUGGGCCUAAAGCAUCCGUAGCCGGCUCUGUAAGUUUUCGGUUAAAUCUGUAUGCUCAACAUACAGGCCGCCGGGAAUACUGCAGAGCUAGGGAGUGGGAGAGGUAGACGGUACUCGGGAGGAAGUGGUAGAAUGCUUUGAUCUCUCGAUGACCACCUGUGGCGAAGGCGGUCUACCAGAACACGUCCGACGGUGAGGGAUGAAAGCUGGGGGAGCAAACCGGAUUAGAAACCCGAGUAGUCC